UACGGAGGGGGUUAGCGUUGUUCGGAAUUACUGGGCNUAAAGCGCGCGUAGGCGGACCAGAAAGUUGGGGGUGAAAUCCCGGGGCUCAACCCCGGAACGGCCUCCAAAACUCCUGGUCUUGAGUUCGAGAGAGGUGAGUGGAAUUCCGAGUGUAGAGGUGAAAUUCGUAGAUAUUCGGAGGAACACCAGUGGCGAAGGCGGCUCACUGGCUCGAUACUGACGCUGAGGUGCGAAAGUGUGGGGAGCAAACAGC
RNAcentral lists this ribosomal RNA (253 nucleotides) under uncultured bacterium. RNAcentral describes it as "partial 16S ribosomal RNA". It matches the Rfam family "Bacterial small subunit ribosomal RNA", at positions 524 to 776 of the family's 1533-position model. The record is from RNAcentral.